This 460-nucleotide ribosomal RNA is filed under the name uncultured bacterium. RNAcentral describes it as "partial 16S ribosomal RNA". It matches the Rfam family "Bacterial small subunit ribosomal RNA", at positions 338 to 795 of the family's 1533-position model. The record is from RNAcentral.
CCUACGGGAGACAGCAGUGAGGAAUAUUGGUCAAUGGGCGCGAGCCUGAACCAGCCAAGUCGCGUGAGGGAAGACGGCCCUACGGGUUGUAAACCUCUUUUGCCGGGGAGCAAGGGCGGGGACGUGUCCCGGCCCGGAGAGUACCCGGAGAAAAAGCAUCGGCUAACUCCGUGCCAGCAGCCGCGGUAAUACGGAGGAUGCGAGCGUUAUCCGGAUUUAUUGGGUUUAAAGGGUGCGUGGGCGGGCUUUUAAGUCAGCGGUAAAUAUUCGGGGCUCAACCCCGUCCGGCCGGGGAAACUGGGGGCCUUGAGUGGGCGAGAAGAAGGCGGAAUGCGUGGUGUAGCGGUGAAAUGCAUAGAUAUCACGCAGAACCCCGAUUGCGAAGGCAGCCUUCCGGCGCCCUACUGACGCUGAGGCACGAAAGUGCGGGGAUCGAACAGGAUUAGAUACCCUGGUAGUC